This 125-nucleotide ribosomal RNA is filed under the name uncultured eukaryote. RNAcentral's name for it is "partial 18S ribosomal RNA". It matches the Rfam family "Eukaryotic small subunit ribosomal RNA", at positions 1299 to 1458 of the family's 1831-position model. The record is from RNAcentral.
UGGUGGAGUGAUUUGUCUAGUUAAUUCCGUUAACGAACGAGACCUCGAGCCUUUCGGGGUGGCGUCUUUCCGACUUCUUAGAGGGACUAUCGGUGUCUCGCCGAUGGAAGUUCGAGGCAAUAACA